This is a long non-coding RNA of Haliotis rubra (blacklip abalone), 598 nucleotides long. RefSeq lists it as uncharacterized. NCBI's taxonomy places the organism in Eukaryota, Metazoa, Mollusca, Gastropoda, Lepetellida, Haliotidae. The transcript is spliced from 3 exons. The record is from RefSeq and is a predicted model, not a curated record.
UGUACAAGCUGGUGGAUCCAACACAGUAAGCACAAGUGUACAAGCUGGUAGAUCCGACAUGGUAAGCACAAGUGUACAAGCUGGUAGAUCCGACACGGUAAGCACAAGUGUACAAGCUGGUGGAUUCGACAUGGUAAGCACAAGUGUACAAGCUGGUAGAUCCAACACGGUAAGCACAAGUGUACAAGCUGGUAGAAGUGACACGGUAAGCACAAGUGUACAAGCUGGUAGAUCCGACACUGUAAGCACAAGUGUACAAGCUGGUAGAUCCGACACGGUAAGCACAAGUGUACAAGCUGGUAGAUCCAACACGGUAAGCACAAGUGUACAAGCUGGUGGAUUUGACACGGUAAGCACAAGUGUACAAGCUGGUAGAAGUGACACGGUAAGCACAAGUGUACAAGCUGGUGGAUGUGACAUGGUAAGCACAAGUGUACAAUCUGGUAGAUCCAACACGGUUAGCAGGUUUGUGAGGUGUUAAACCUGACUCGGUAAGGAGUUGGUUUGGGUUGGUUGGCGUUGAACGCGGCACUCAGCAAUAGGCCAGCUAUAUGGCUGCGGUCUGUAAAUAAUCGAGUCUGAACUAGACAAUCCAGUG